UACGUAGGGGGCAAGCGUUGUCCGGAUUCAUUGGGCGUAAAGAGCGUGUAGGCGGCCAGGUAGGUCGGUUGUGAAAACUGGAGGCUCAACCUUCAGAGGUCGACCGAAACCAUCUGGCUAGAGUCCGGGAGAGGAGAGUGGAAUUCCUGGUGUAGCGGUGAAAUGCGCAGAUAUCAGGAAGAACACCAGUGGCGAAGGCGGCAUCCUGGACCGACACUGACGCUGAGGAGCGAAAGCCAGGGGAGCAAACGGG
RNAcentral lists this ribosomal RNA (253 nucleotides) under uncultured bacterium. RNAcentral's name for it is "partial 16S ribosomal RNA". It matches the Rfam family "Bacterial small subunit ribosomal RNA", at positions 524 to 776 of the family's 1533-position model. The record is from RNAcentral.